This 1251-nucleotide ribosomal RNA is filed under the name uncultured Acinetobacter sp. RNAcentral's name for it is "bacterial SSU rRNA". It matches the Rfam family "Bacterial small subunit ribosomal RNA", at positions 76 to 1322 of the family's 1533-position model. The record is from RNAcentral. Lineage: Bacteria; Pseudomonadati; Pseudomonadota; Gammaproteobacteria; Moraxellales; Moraxellaceae.
UAGCUUGCUACCUGACCUAGCGGCGGACGGGUGAGUAAUGCUUAGGAAUCUGCCUAUUAGUGGGGGACAACAUUCCGAAAGGAAUGCUAAUACCGCAUACGCCCUACGGGGGAAAGCAGGGGAUCUUCGGACCUUGCGCUAAUAGAUGAGCCUAAGUCAGAUUAGCUAGUUGGUGGGGUAAAGGCCUACCAAGGCGACGAUCUGUAGCAGGUCUGAGAGGAUGAUCCGCCACACUGGGACUGAGACACGGCCCAGACUCCUACGGGAGGCAGCAGUGGGGAAUAUUGGACAAUGGGCGAAAGCCUGAUCCAGCCAUGCCGCGUGUGUGAAGAAGGCCUUUUGGUUGUAAAGCACUUUAAGCGAGGAGGAGGCUACUUGGAUUAAUACUCUAGGAUAGUGGACGUUACUCGCAGAAUAAGCACCGGCUAACUCUGUGCCAGCAGCCGCGGUAAUACAGAGGGUGCGAGCGUUAAUCGGAUUUACUGGGCGUAAAGCGUGCGUAGGCGGCUUUUUAAGUCGGAUGUGAAAUCCCUGAGCUUAACUUAGGAAUUGCAUUCGAUACUGGGAAGCUAGAGUAUGGGAGAGGAUGGUAGAAUUCCAGGUGUAGCGGUGAAAUGCGUAGAGAUCUGGAGGAAUACCGAUGGCGAAGGCAGCCAUCUGGCCUAAUACUGACGCUGAGGUACGAAAGCAUGGGGAGCAAACAGGAUUAGAUACCCUGGUAGUCCAUGCCGUAAACGAUGUCUACUAGCCGUUGGGGCCUUUGAGGCUUUAGUGGCGCAGCUAACGCGAUAAGUAGACCGCCUGGGGAGUACGGUCGCAAGACUAAAACUCAAAUGAAUUGACGGGGGCCCGCACAAGCGGUGGAGCAUGUGGUUUAAUUCGAUGCAACGCGAAGAACCUUACCUGGUCUUGACAUAGUAAGAACUUUCCAGAGAUGGAUUGGUGCCUUCGGGAACUUACAUACAGGUGCUGCAUGGCUGUCGUCAGCUCGUGUCGUGAGAUGUUGGGUUAAGUCCCGCAACGAGCGCAACCCUUUUCCUUAUUUGCCAGCGGGUUAAGCCGGGAACUUUAAGGAUACUGCCAGUGACAAACUGGAGGAAGGCGGGGACGACGUCAAGUCAUCAUGGCCCUUACGACCAGGGCUACACACGUGCUACAAUGGUCGGUACAAAGGGUUGCUACCUAGCGAUAGGAUGCUAAUCUCAAAAAGCCGAUCGUAGUCCGGAUUGGAGUCUGCAACUCGACUCCAUG